ACCUCAUAUUUUGUAUAUAGUUACUGUACAUAUCACAUGGGAUGCUAGGUUGUAUUAUAUUUUUGAUCCACGCAUGUAUAUAUUUUAUAAGCCCACUGCAUGAAAAUGACAUAAGCAAGAAUUGCGCCUCAUAUCGAGUAUCGGGGUAUGAUAGAUGGUAUCAUAGUCCAUAUUCCUAGAAACAUCCCUUGUGCAUGAGGUUUUAGAGUAAGAUGAGACGUGGACGAACUCCAUCAGAGCAACCUCCCGAUUAUAUGUCCUUAGAGCAUAUUGACCAGUUAUACUAUAUGGUAGAGGAGCUUGUUAACCAACCUAGAGAAGGGAUGCUUAGCCUUCCUCUAGUACUGGCUCCAUAUAAUCUAGAACCAGUCGUUAUGGAUCCAAACUAUCACAGAAAGUUCAUGAGACUCCAUCCUCCUACAUUUGCUAGUACCAAGAAUUUUAUUGAAGCUGAAGGAUGGUUGAAAGAAAUUGAAAAGG
This 480-nucleotide long non-coding RNA is filed under the name Carica papaya (papaya). Its description in RNAcentral is "long non-coding RNA (CPAP_LNC005400)". Lineage: Eukaryota; Viridiplantae; Streptophyta; Magnoliopsida; Brassicales; Caricaceae. The record is from RNAcentral.